GGUUAAGUUAGAAAGGGCGCACGGUGGAUGCCUUGGCACUAGGAGCCGAUGAAGGACGGGACGAACACCGAUAUGCUUCGGGGAGCUGUAAGCAAGCUUUGAUCCGGAGAUUUCCGAAUGGGGAAACCCACCACUCGUAAUGGAGUGGUAUCCAUAUCUGAAUACAUAGGAUAUGAGAAGGCAGACCCGGGAACUGAAACAUCUAAGUACCCGGAGGAAGAGAAAGCAAAUGCGAUUCCCUGAGUAGCGGCGAGCGAAACGGGACCAGCCCAAACCAAGAGGCUUGCCUCUUGGGGUUGUAGGACACUCUGUACGGAGUUACAAAGGAACGAGGUAGAUGAAGAGGCCUGGAAAGGCCCGCCAUAGGAGGUAACAGCCCUGUAGUCAAAACUUCGUUCUCUCCUGAGUGGAUCCUGAGUACGGCGGAACACGUGAAAUUCCGUCGGAAUCCGGGAGGACCAUCUCCCAAGGCUAAAUACUCCCUAGUGACCGAUAGUGAACCAGUACCGUGAGGGAAAGGUGAAAAGCACCCCGGAAGGGGAGUGAAAGAGAUCCUGAAACCGUGUGCCUACAAGUAGUCAGAGCCCGUUAACGGGUGAUGGCGUGCCUUUUGUAGAAUGAACCGGCGAGUUACGAUCCCGUGCAAGGUUAAGCAGAAGAUGCGGAGCCGCAGCGAAAGCGAGUCUGAAUAGGGCGAAUUGAGUACGUGGUCGUAGACCCGAAACCAGGUGAUCUACCCAUGUCCAGGGUGAAGUUCAGGUAACACUGAAUGGAGGCCCGAACCCACGCACGUUGAAAAGUGCGGGGAUGAGGUGUGGGUAGGGGUGAAAUGCCAAUCGAACCUGGAGAUAGCUGGUUCUCUCCGAAAUAGCUUUAGGGCUAGCCUCAAGGUAAGAGUCUCGGAGGUAGAGCACUGAUUGGACUAGGGGCCCCUACCGGGUUACCGAAUUCAGUCAAACUCCGAAUGCCGAUGACUUAUCCUUGGGAGUCAGACUGCGAGUGAUAAGAUCCGUAGUCGAAAGGGAAACAGCCCAGACCGCCAGCUAAGGUCCCAAAGUAUACGUUAAGUGGAAAAGGAUGUGGAGUUGCUUAGACAACCAGGAUGUUGGCUUAGAAGCAGCCACCAUUUAAAGAGUGCGUAAUAGCUCACUGGUCGAGUGACUCUGCGCCGAAAAUGUACCGGGGCUAAACGUAUCACCGAAGCUGCGGACUGUUCUUCGAACAGUGGUAGGAGAGCGUUCUAAGGGCUGUGAAGCAAGACCGGAAGGACUUGUGGAGCGCUUAGAAGUGAGAAUGCCGGUAUGAGUAGCGAAAGAGGGGUGAGAAUCCCCUCCACCGAAUGCCUAAGGUUUCCUGAGGAAGGCUCGUCCGCUCAGGGUUAGUCGGGACCUAAGCCGAGGCCGAAAGGCGUAGGCGAUGGAUAACAGGUUGAUAUUCCUGUACCACCUCCUCACCAUUUGAGCAAUGGGGGGACGCAGGAGGAUAGGGUAAGCGCGGUAUUGGAUAUCCGCGUCCAAGCAGUUAGGCUGGGAAAUAGGCAAAUCCGUUUCCCGUGAAGGCUGAGCUGUGAUGGCGAGCGAAUUAUAGUAGCGAAGUUCCUGAUUCCACACUGCCAAGAAAAGCCUCUAGCGAGGUGAGAGGUGCCCGUACCGCAAACCGACACAGGUAGGCGAGGAGAGAAUCCUAAGGUGAUCGAGAGAACUCUCGUUAAGGAACUCGGCAAAAUGACCCCGUAACUUCGGGAGAAGGGGUGCUCUGUUAGGGUGCAAGCCCGAGAGAGCCGCAGUGAAUAGGCCCAGGCGACUGUUUAGCAAAAACACAGGUCUCUGCGAAGCCGUAAGGCGAAGUAUAGGGGCUGACGCCUGCCCGGUGCUGGAAGGUUAAGAGGAGCGCUUAGCGUAAGCGAAGGUGCGAAUUGAAGCCCCAGUAAACGGCGGCCGUAACUAUAACGGUCCUAAGGUAGCGAAAUUCCUUGUCGGGUAAGUUCCGACCCGCACGAAAGGCGCAACGAUCUGGGCACUGUCUCAACGAGAGACUCGGUGAAAUUAUAGUACCUGUGAAGAUGCAGGUUACCCGCGACAGGACGGAAAGACCCCGUGGAGCUUUACUGCAGCCUGAUAUUGAAUGUUGGUACAGCUUGUACAGGAUAGGUAGGAGCCUUGGAAACCGGAGCGCCAGCUUCGGUGGAGGCAUCGGUGGGAUACUACCCUGGCUGUAUUGACCUUCUAACCCGCCGCCCUUAUCGGGCGGGGAGACAGUGUCAGGUGGGCAGUUUGACUGGGGCGGUCGCCUCCUAAAAGGUAACGGAGGCGCCCAAAGGUUCCCUCAGAAUGGUUGGAAAUCAUUCGCAGAGUGUAAAGGCACAAGGGAGCUUGACUGCGAGACCUACAAGUCGAGCAGGGACGAAAGUCGGGCUUAGUGAUCCGGUGGUUCCGCAUGGAAGGGCCAUCGCUCAACGGAUAAAAGCUACCCCGGGGAUAACAGGCUUAUCUCCCCCAAGAGUCCACAUCGACGGGGAGGUUUGGCACCUCGAUGUCGGCUCAUCGCAUCCUGGGGCUGUAGUCGGUCCCAAGGGUUGGGCUGUUCGCCCAUUAAAGCGGUACGCGAGCUGGGUUCAGAACGUCGUGAGACAGUUCGGUCCCUAUCCGUCGCGGGCGCAGGAAAUUUGAGAGGAGCUGUCCUUAGUACGAGAGGACCGGGAUGGACGCACCGCUGGUGUACCAGUUGUUCUGCCAAGGGCAUCGCUGGGUAGCUAUGUGCGGACGGGAUAAGUGCUGAAAGCAUCUAAGCAUGAAGCCCCCCUCAAGAUGAGAUUUCCCAUUCCGCAAGGAAGUAAGAUCCCUGAAAGAUGAUCAGGUUGAUAGGUCUGAGGUGGAAGUGUGGCGACACAUGGAGCUGACAGAUACUAAUCGAUCGAGGACUUAACCAA
This 2929-nucleotide ribosomal RNA is filed under the name Bacillus velezensis. RNAcentral describes it as "23S ribosomal RNA". It matches the Rfam family "Bacterial large subunit ribosomal RNA". Lineage: Bacteria; Bacillati; Bacillota; Bacilli; Caryophanales; Bacillaceae. The record is from RNAcentral.